AAGAGAUUUGAUGAAAUGAUACACUGCAUAUAAGUGUCCUUCAGGAAGUCUUCUAGGAGCUCUAUCGCCUUUGGGAACAAGAUCAUUCAUCCAGGACAUGCUGUGUCAAUGGUUGGCAUCGUCUCAUUUUUGAAAUGACAGAAUGCAGUAAAAGUCUCCUGCCCGUGCUGGACUCGAUUGCCCAGCAGAGAAGAGCUCUCACUAAGUGCAACUUGAAUGUGAACUUGGCCUGGGCAACAGCAGUGCCCUCCUCACUUCUGAGCUGCUGCCACAUACUCAUUGGAGGUAAGUGGGUGGGGACUGAAUUUUAGC
This is a long non-coding RNA of Lemur catta (Ring-tailed lemur), 312 nucleotides long. RefSeq lists it as uncharacterized. The transcript has 3 exons. The record is from RefSeq and is a predicted model, not a curated record. Lineage: Eukaryota; Metazoa; Chordata; Mammalia; Primates; Lemuridae.